GACGAACGCUGGCGGCGUGCUUAACACAUGCAAGUCGAACGGAAAGGCCCCCUUGUGGGGUACUCGAGUGGCGAACGGGUGAGUAACACGUGAGUAACCUACCCUUGACUUUGGGAUAACUUCAGGAAACUGGGGCUAAUACCGGAUAGGAGCUCCUGCUGCAUGGUGGGGGUUGGAAAGUUUCGGCGGUUGGGGAUGGACUCGCGGCUUAUCAGCUUGUUGGUGGGGUAGUGGCUCACCAAGGCUUUGACGGGUAGCCGGCCUGAGAGGGUGACCGGCCACAUUGGGACUGAGAUACGGCCCAGACUCCUACGGGAGGCAGCAGUGGGGAAUAUUGCACAAUGGGCGGAAGCCUGAUGCAGCAACGCCGCGUGCGGGAUGACGGCCUUCGGGUUGUAAACCGCUUUCGCCUGUGACGAGGCGUGAGUGACGGUAAUGGGUAAAGAAGCACCGGCUAACUACGUG
RNAcentral lists this ribosomal RNA (465 nucleotides) under uncultured bacterium. RNAcentral's name for it is "partial 16S ribosomal RNA". It matches the Rfam family "Bacterial small subunit ribosomal RNA", at positions 28 to 507 of the family's 1533-position model. The record is from RNAcentral.